GCAAGUCGAGCGCUUCCUUCGGGGAGGAGCGGCGGACGGGUGAGUAACGCGUGGGAACGUACCCUUCUCUGCGGAAUAGCCACUGGAAACGGUGAGUAAUACCGCAUACGCCCUUCGGGGGAAAGAUUUAUCGGGGAAGGAUCGGCCCGCGUUGGAUUAGGUAGUUGGUGGGGUAAAGGCCUACCAAGGCGACGAUCCAUAGCUGGUUUGAGAGGAUGAUC
RNAcentral lists this ribosomal RNA (221 nucleotides) under uncultured bacterium. RNAcentral describes it as "partial 16S ribosomal RNA". It matches the Rfam family "Bacterial small subunit ribosomal RNA", at positions 57 to 305 of the family's 1533-position model. The record is from RNAcentral.